GAGGGCAAGUCUGGUGCCAGCAGCCGCGGUAAUUCCAGCUCCAAUAGCGUAUAUUAAAGUUGUUGCAGUUAAAAAGCUCGUAGUUGGAUUUCUGUUAAUACCUUAUAUAUAAUAUUUUUUUUUAAAUAUUAUUAUGUAAGAUUAACAUAAUUCAUAUUUUUUAAGACUGAAUUUUUAGUUUUGAUAAUAUGAAAUUUUACUUUGAGAAAAUUAGAGUGCUUAAAGCAGGCUUUUGCCUUGAAUACUCCAGCAUGGAAUAAUAAUAAAAGAUUUUUAUCUUUUUUUUAUUGGUUCUAAGAUAAAAAUAAUGAUUAAUAGGGACAGUUGGGGGCAUUUGUAUUUAACAGUCAGAGGUGAUAUUCUUAGAUUUGUUAAAGACAAACUAAUGCGAAAGCAUUUGCCAAGGAUGUUUUCAUUAAUCAAGAACGAAAGUUAGGGGAUCGAAGACGAUCAGAUACCGUCGUAGUCUUAACCAUAAACUAUGCCAACUAGAGAUUGGAGGUUGUUCCUUACUC
This 515-nucleotide ribosomal RNA is filed under the name Cryptosporidium felis. Its description in RNAcentral is "partial small subunit ribosomal RNA". It matches the Rfam family "Eukaryotic small subunit ribosomal RNA", at positions 551 to 1072 of the family's 1831-position model. Lineage: Eukaryota; Apicomplexa; Conoidasida; Eucoccidiorida; Cryptosporidiidae. The record is from RNAcentral.